Molecule: ribosomal RNA, 227 nt
Filed under: Burkholderia ubonensis
Lineage: Bacteria; Pseudomonadati; Pseudomonadota; Betaproteobacteria; Burkholderiales; Burkholderiaceae
Description: partial 16S ribosomal RNA
Rfam family: Bacterial small subunit ribosomal RNA
Source: RNAcentral
UUGAACUGAAGAGUUUGAUCCUGGCUCAGAUUGAACGCUGGCGGCAUGCCUUACACAUGCAAGUCGAACGGCAGCACGGGCUUCGGCCUGGUGGCGAGUGGCGAACGGGUGAGUAAUACAUCGGAACAUGUCCUGUAGUGGGGGAUAGCCCGGCGAAAGCCGGAUUAAUACCGCAUACGAUCUACGGAUGAAAGCGGGGGACCUUCGGGCCUCGCGCUAUAGGGUUG